UACGGAGGUGCCAAGCGUUGUCCGGAUUUACUGGGCGUAAAGGGUGCGUAGGCGGUGAGGUAAGUCGGAUGUGAAAUCUCCGAGCUCAACUCGGAAAUGGCAUUGGAAACUACCUUACUCGAGGGUUGGAGGGGGGACUGGAAUGCUUGGUGUAGCAGUGAAAUGCGUAGAUAUCAAGCGGAACACCAGUGGCGAAGGCGAGUCCCUGGACAACUCCUGACACUGAGGCACGAAAGCUAGGGGAGCAAACAGG
This 253-nucleotide ribosomal RNA is filed under the name uncultured bacterium. RNAcentral describes it as "partial 16S ribosomal RNA". It matches the Rfam family "Bacterial small subunit ribosomal RNA", at positions 524 to 776 of the family's 1533-position model. The record is from RNAcentral.